CUCAUCUUUUUAUAGUUGAGCUUUUCUUUUUGUAGACACUGGGGUCCUGAAAAGCAUUUGCUGAUAGAAGAUAAAACACCCUUUGAGACUCUACCUUCCCUACUAGGGUGUCUGUCAACUUUCAUAGUACUUGGGUUUAUAACAAUGGGGGUGAGAAUAGUGUAAACUCAUAGGGUGGUUGUGAGCUAAUUGCAUUAUUCUAUGCAAAACAGUGAGAAUACUGCCUGAGACCAACUGUCAUAUAAAUGUGUGAACUAUCUUUUCCCCGAGGAACCAGACAUGAAGGAAGCUGGUGAAGGGACGGGCGCAUCUGUCAACCUCUGGUUUGUGUUCCUUGUUCAACUAAGAAGCAUUUAUAAAGAAAGGAGGAGCCAUGGCUUAGAAGAGAUGUGGAAUUUGUUCUGAAGCAUCUCCCCUAUACUUUGGACAGUGCCCUCCAGGAAAAAGAGAUGAAGAAACAGCAGAAUAAUGUGAUGACCUCAGUUUGUG
This is a long non-coding RNA of Nyctereutes procyonoides (raccoon dog), 489 nucleotides long. RefSeq lists it as uncharacterized. NCBI's taxonomy places the organism in Eukaryota, Metazoa, Chordata, Mammalia, Carnivora, Canidae. The record is from RefSeq and is a predicted model, not a curated record. The transcript is spliced from 3 exons.